GCCGGGCGAGGUGGCGGGUGCCUGUAGUCCCAGCUACUCUGGAGGCUGAGGCAGGAGAAUGGCGUAAACCCGAGAGGUGGAGCUUGCAGUGAGCUGAGAUCUGGCCACUGCACUCCAGCCUGGGCGACAGAGUGAGACUCCCUCUCAAAAAAAAAAAAGAUGGAGUCUCGCUCUGUUGCCCAGGCUGGAGUGCAGUGGCAUGAUCUCAACUCACUGCAACCUCCUCCUCCUAGGUUUAAGCGAUUCUCCUGCCUCAC
Molecule: small RNA, 257 nt
Filed under: Papio anubis (olive baboon)
Lineage: Eukaryota; Metazoa; Chordata; Mammalia; Primates; Cercopithecidae
Description: Metazoan signal recognition particle RNA (ENSPANG00000036978.1)
Source: RNAcentral